GCCCGGUUAGCUCAGUCGGUAGAGCAUUCGGCUUUUAUCUCCCCUGACACGGGUGACGAGACCGAAAUGUCGGGGGUUCGAGCCCCCCAUUGGGCG
This 96-nucleotide transfer RNA is filed under the name Puccinia triticina 1-1 BBBD Race 1. Its description in RNAcentral is "Puccinia triticina tRNA PTTG_20469". It matches the Rfam family "tRNA". Rfam says of the family: Transfer RNA (tRNA) molecules are approximately 80 nucleotides in length. Their secondary structure includes four short double-helical elements and three loops (D, anti-codon, and T loops). Lineage: Eukaryota; Fungi; Basidiomycota; Pucciniomycetes; Pucciniales; Pucciniaceae. The record is from Rfam by way of RNAcentral.